RNAcentral lists this ribosomal RNA (460 nucleotides) under uncultured bacterium. Its description in RNAcentral is "partial 16S ribosomal RNA". It matches the Rfam family "Bacterial small subunit ribosomal RNA", at positions 338 to 795 of the family's 1533-position model. The record is from RNAcentral.
CCUACGGGAGGCAGCAGUGAGGAAUAUUGGUCAAUGGACGAGAGUCUGAACCAGCCAAGUAGCGUGAAGGAUGACUGCCCUAUGGGUUGUAAACUUCUUUUAUAAAGGAAUAAAACGAGGCACGUGUGCCUUUUUGCAUGUACUUUAUGAAUAAGGAUCGGCUAACUCCGUGCCAGCAGCCGCGGUAAUACGGAGGAUCCGAGCGUUAUCCGGAUUUAUUGGGUUUAAAGGGAGCGUAGAUGGGUUGUUAAGUCAGUUGUGAAAGUUUGCGGCUCAACCGUAAAAUUGCAAUUGAUACUGGCAGUCGUGAGUACAGUUGAGGUAGGCGGAAUUCGUGGUAUAGCGGUGAAAUGCUUAGAUAUCACGAAGAACCCCGAUUGCGAAGGCAGCUUACUAAACUGUGACUGACAUUGAUGCUCGAAAGUGUGGGUAUCAAACAGGAUUAGAUACCCUGGUAGUC